RNAcentral lists this ribosomal RNA (1353 nucleotides) under Gymnogramma flavivitella. Its description in RNAcentral is "16S ribosomal RNA". The record is from RNAcentral. Lineage: Eukaryota; Metazoa; Arthropoda; Insecta; Lepidoptera; Lacturidae.
GGGGGAAAAAUUAAUAAUUUAAAUUUAUUAAUAAAAAAAAUUUUAAUAUUAAAAAGAAUUUAAUGGGGGUUAAAGUAUUUUUAAUAGAAAAAAUUUAAAAAUUUAUAGUUUAAUAUGUAUUGUGAAAGAAUUUUGAAAUAUAAUGAAAAAAAAAUUAAUAAAAAGUAAUUUUAAUUUGGUGUAUCUUGUGUAUCAGAGUUUAUUAAAAAUAAUUUUUAAGGUAAAAUUUCUCGAAUUUAAAAGAGAUAAUUAAUUAAUAAAUUUAUUGUUGUAAAAAUAUUUUUAAUAGUUAAUUUGAAAUGAAAUGUUAAUCGUUUUUAAAUAUAUCUAGUUUUUUUAGAAAAAAAUUUAAUUUUGAAUUUAAUUAAAAUUUUUAUAAAGUUUAUUUAAUAAUUUUAUGAAAUUUAAAUUUAAUAUUUUAAGGGAUAAGCUUUAAAAUAAAAUAUUAUAAAUUAAUAAUUUGAAAUUAAUUAAAAUUUUUAAAAUUUAUAUUGUUUAAAAAUUAUAUUUUAUUAUAAAUAAUUUUAAUUAAAAGAAAAAUUUAAUAUAAUUUUAAUUUUUUAUAGAAAAAAAAUUUUUAAUUUUAAAAAUUUUAUUAUAAUGAUAAAAUUAGUAUAUUAGUUUAAUUAAAAAUAUUAUUUAAUUAAUAAAAGGUAGUUAAAAAGAAUUCGGCAAAAUUUUAUAUUCACCUGUUUAUCAAAAACAUGUCUUUUUGAAAAUAAUUUAAAGUCUAAUCUGCCCACUGAUUAAUAUAUUGAAGGGCUGCAGUAUUUUGACUGUACAAAGGUAGCAUAAUCAUUAGUCUCUUAAUUGGUGACUUGUAUGAACGAUUGGAUGAAAUAUAUACUGUUUCUUAAUUAUUAUAUAGAAUUUAAUUUUUUAAUUAAAAAGUUAAAAUAAUUUUAAAAGACGAGAAGACCCUAUAGAGUUUAAUAAAUAUUUAAAUUAAAAUUAAUUAUAAGAUAAGAAUUAAAAUUUAUUUAUUUAUUUUGUUGGGGUGAUAGAAAAAUUUAAUUAACUUUUUUUUUUAAUUUAACAUAAAUAAGUGAAUUUAUUGAUCCAUAAUUUUUGAUUAAAAGAAAAAAUUACCUUAGGGAUAACAGCGUAAUUUUUUUUUUUAGUUCAUAUAAAAAAAAAAGUUUGCGACCUCGAUGUUGGAUUAAGAUAAAAUUUAAAUGCAGAAGUUUAAAAUUUUGAUCUGUUCGAUCAUUAAAAUCUUACAUGAUCUGAGUUCAAACCGGUGUAAGCCAGGUUGGUUUCUAUCUUUAAUCAAAUAAAAUAUUUUAGUACGAAAGGAUUAAAUAUUUAAAAUAAUUUUAUUUAAUUGAUUUUUAAUAAUUAAUUUUUAAAAUU